RNAcentral lists this non-coding RNA (24 nucleotides) under Arabidopsis thaliana (thale cress). Lineage: Eukaryota; Viridiplantae; Streptophyta; Magnoliopsida; Brassicales; Brassicaceae. The record is from RNAcentral.
UACAUCUGCUUAUGUCUUCUUUGA